Molecule: ribosomal RNA, 253 nt
Filed under: uncultured bacterium
Lineage: Bacteria
Description: partial 16S ribosomal RNA
Rfam family: Bacterial small subunit ribosomal RNA
Source: RNAcentral
UACGUAGGGGGCAAGCGUUGUCCGGAUUUAUUGGGCGUAAAGAGCGUGUAGGCGGCCAAGUAAGUCUGCUGUGAAAACUCGAGGCUUAACCUCGAGCUGUCGGCGGAAAAUAUUUGGCUAGAGUCCGGAAGAGGAGAAUGGAAUUCCCGGUGUAGCGGUGAAAUGCGCAGAUAUCGGGAAGAACACCCGUGGCGAAGGCGGUUCUCUGGGACGGUACUGACGCUGAGACGCGAAAGCGUGGGGAGCGAACAGG